Long non-coding RNA from Pollicipes pollicipes, 1043 nucleotides. RefSeq lists it as uncharacterized. The transcript is spliced from 3 exons. The record is from RefSeq and is a predicted model, not a curated record. Lineage: Eukaryota; Metazoa; Arthropoda; Thecostraca; Pollicipedomorpha; Pollicipedidae.
UGUAAACUGCGGGUCGGCUUUGAUCGGAGGCUGGUGUAAACUGCGGGUCGGCUUAGCGCAAGUGCAGCGGCUGAAUGGACCUUGCGUGACGCGCGCUGUCGUGGGAUGGCGGCUCUGACGGAGAACGUCCAUGGGCUGAGGCGCGUACGAUAGUCGUCCCACACGACUGAACCGGUGAACGACGGACACCUGCUGCCACCGAGGACAGACCACAGGCCUCCGGCCGGUUCAGAGGAGUGACCACAUGCCUCCGGCCGGUUCAGAGGACUGACCACAGGCCUGUAGACAGCUCAGAGAACUGACCACAGGUGCACCGGAGUUCUCGGUGGUGUGGGUCACUCGGCCGGGGGUGACCAGGUCUGGCCUCAGGACGCCCGUGUCGGGACCGACAGCUGACGUCAGGUGCCAGGCAUCUAGAAUCCCGACGAAGACAGGAAGUUUGAAGAGUGUGCUGCCUUCAGCGCUUGCAAUGUAUGGACGGGCUUAAUCUGUGAUGCGCACAGACUGAGCUUAUGAAAGAGCUCAAACUCCAAAAUCCAGGCUCUCAAAUGCAGACGUGAAGACCUCGGACUUUUUUCAGUGCUCUAGUGAAUAAACGUGUUCGAACAGCUGGAUCCAGUCUUGCAGAAAACAACAAGAUUAGCCCACCUAUCGCAUACAGACGAAUCUUCAAACAGAGGUGCCCGAACUCAGAGCAGCGGCGGCUACUCCAGCCAGAACCCGUCCCAGCGACGCCGUGCGGCGCUAUGUUGUCGAGUCUGCCGCCGCCGCGUCACCGCAGCGCCGGCGCCCGCCGUCGCCCGCGUGUCUGCUGACCGCCCGCCAUGGCCAAGAUCCUGAAGCAGCUGUCGACGAUGCACGGCCGGCUGUUCGCGGCCGACCCGCCCGAGAAGUCGCGGCCGCCCGAGCUCUUCAUCGACGCCGACGCGCUGGACGUGUACGCGCUGCGCCGCUGCCACUCGGAGCUGAGUCCGCUCUACCUGACGCGGCUAUCGCUCUCGACGGAUGAUCUGGACGCGGCCACGCUGCCGCCGGCGCGCAGC